Molecule: ribosomal RNA, 503 nt
Filed under: uncultured bacterium
Lineage: Bacteria
Description: partial 16S ribosomal RNA
Rfam family: Bacterial small subunit ribosomal RNA
Source: RNAcentral
AACGACCGCUGGCGGCACGUUUUAAGCAUGCAAGUCGAACGGAAGUGGGGGCAACCCCAUGAGAGUGGCGAACGGGUGAGUAACACGUAGGUGAUCAGCCUUUGGGUUGGGGAUAGCUUGUGGAAACACAGGGUAAUACCGAAUGAGCUGACGAGGCUUUGGCCAUGUUAGUAAAGGUGCUACGGCACCGCCUAGAGAGGAGCCUGCGGCUGAUUAGCUAGUUGGAGGGGUAAAGGCCUACCAAGGCGACGCUCAGUGGCCGUCCUGAGCGGGUGUACGGCCACACUGUAACUGUGACACGGUCCAGACUCCUACGGGAAGCAGCAGCUGAGAAUGUUCCGCAAUGGGCGAAAGCCUGACGGAGGGAUGCCGCGUGAUCGAUGAAGGUCGAGAGAUUGUAAAGAUCUUUUCCAACUGAGGAAUAAGUGGACCAGGGAAUGGGUUCAUGAUGACGUUAAGUUGGGAAUAAGCCCCUGCUAAUUACGUGCCAGCCGCCGCCGUAA